RNAcentral lists this ribosomal RNA (795 nucleotides) under uncultured bacterium. RNAcentral's name for it is "bacterial SSU rRNA". It matches the Rfam family "Bacterial small subunit ribosomal RNA", at positions 8 to 796 of the family's 1533-position model. The record is from RNAcentral.
AGAGUUUGAUCAUGGCUCAGGAUGAACGCUAGCGGGAGGCUUAACACAUGCAAGUCGAGGGGCAGCACGAGGUAGCAAUACUUUGGUGGCGACCGGCGCACGGGUGAGUAACGCGUAUGUAACCUACCCUGUACAGGGGGAUAGCCCGGAGAAAUUCGGAUUAAUACCCCAUAAAGAUAUUGAGAGGCAUCUUUUGAUAUUUAAAGUUUCGACGGUACGGGAUGGGCAUGCGUAACAUUAGCUAGUUGGUAAGGUAACGGCUUACCAAGGCUACGAUGUUUAGGGGUCCUGAGAGGGUGAUCCCCCACACUGGUACUGAGACACGGACCAGACUCCUACGGGAGGCAGCAGUGAGGAAUAUUGGUCAAUGGGCGUAAGCCUGAACCAGCCAUCCCGCGUGAAGGAAGAAGGCGCUAUGCGUUGUAAACUUCUUUUCCAGGGAAAGAAAACCCCCGACGUGUCGGGGCUUGCCGGUACCCUGGGAAUAAGCAUCGGCUAACUCCGUGCCAGCAGCCGCGGUAAUACGGAGGAUGCAAGCGUUAUCCGGAUUUAUUGGGUUUAAAGGGUGCGUAGGCGGAUUAAUAAGUCAGUGGUGAAAACCUUCAGCUUAACUGGAGAACUGCCAUUGAUACUGUUAGUCUUGAGUACGGUCAAGGUAGGCGGAAUGUGUAAUGUAGCGGUGAAAUGCUUAGAUAUUACACAGAACACCGAUUGCGAAGGCAGCUUACUGGGCCAUUACUGACGCUGAUGCACGAAAGCGUGGGGAGCGAACAGGAUUAGAUACCCUAGUAGUCC